GGGAGAUGGUGUUGGAUCAUUAUGUUCAAUGGGUUUGAUCAACCUGCAUAAUGAUUUUGGAUAUGAAAAGCUUUAGAAUUCAAACAAGGCAAUCAUUAUGCAGAUGAAAAGAUUGAUUUUAAUCAACCUGCAUAAUGAUUUUGGAUAUGAAAAGCUUUAGAAUUCAAACAAGGCAAUCAUUAUGCAGAUGAAAAGAUUGAUUUUAUUUUAUUUUUUAGGGUUUUAUGUGAUCACCAAUUUCAUGCAAAA
Molecule: long non-coding RNA, 249 nt
Filed under: Lathyrus oleraceus (garden pea)
Lineage: Eukaryota; Viridiplantae; Streptophyta; Magnoliopsida; Fabales; Fabaceae
Description: Pisum sativum (pea) long non-coding RNA (PSAT_LNC013361)
Source: RNAcentral